UUUAGAGUUUUGANNCCCCGCUCAGGACGAACGCUGGCGGCGUGCCUAAUACAUGCAAGUCGAACGCUUCUUUUUCCACCGGAGCUUGCUCCACCGGAAAAAGAGGAGUGGCGAACGGGUGAGUAACACGUGGGUAACCUGCCCAUCAGAAGGGGAUAACACUUGGAAACAGGUGCUAAUACCGUAUAACAAUCAAAACCGCAUGGUUUUGAUUUGAAAGGCGCUUUCGGGUGUCGCUGAUGGAUGGACCCGCGGUGCAUUAGCUAGUUGGUGAGGUAACGGCUCACCAAGGCCACGAUGCAUAGCCGACCUGAGAGGGUGAUCGGCCACAUUGGGACUGAGACACGGCCCAAACUCCUACGGGAGGCAGCAGUAGGGAAUCUUCGGCAAUGGACGAAAGUCUGACCGAGCAACGCCGCGUGAGUGAAGAAGGUUUUCGGAUCGUAAAACUCUGUUGUUAGAGAAGAACAAGGAUGAGAGUAACUGUUCAUCCCUUGACGGUAUCUAACCAGAAAGCCACGGCUAACUACGUGCCAGCAGCCGCGGUAAUACGUAGGUGGCAAGCGUUGUCCGGAUUUAUUGGGCGUAAAGCGAGCGCAGGCGGUUUCUUAAGUCUGAUGUGAAAGCCCCCGGCUCAACCGGGGAGGGUCAUUGGAAACUGGGAGACUUGAGUGCAGAAGUGAG
RNAcentral lists this ribosomal RNA (684 nucleotides) under Enterococcus faecium. RNAcentral describes it as "bacterial SSU rRNA". It matches the Rfam family "Bacterial small subunit ribosomal RNA", at positions 1 to 658 of the family's 1533-position model. The record is from RNAcentral. Lineage: Bacteria; Bacillati; Bacillota; Bacilli; Lactobacillales; Enterococcaceae.